CCUACGGGAGGCAGCAGUAGGGAAUCUUCCACAAUGGGCGAAAGCCUGAUGGAGCAACGCCGCGUGGGUGAAGAAGGUCUUCGGAUCGUAAAACUCUGUUGUUAGAGAAGAAAGUGCGUGAGAGUAACUGUUCACGUUUCGACGGUAUCUAACCAGAAAGCCACGGCUAACUACGUGCCAGCAGCCGCGGUAAUACGUAGGUGGCAAGCGUUAUCCGGAUUUAUUGGGCGUAAAGGGAACGCAGGCGGGCUUUUAAGUCUGAAGUGAAAGCCUUGGGCUUAACCGGCGUACUGCAUGGGAAACUGGGAGACUUGAGUGCAGAAGAGGAGAGUGGAACUCCAUGUGUAGCGGUGAAAUGCGUAGAUAUAUGGAAGAACACCAGUGGCGAAAGCGGCUCUCUGGUCUGUAACUGACGCUGAGGUGCGAAAGCGUGGGUAGCAAACAGGAUUAGAUACCCUUGUAGUC
This 465-nucleotide ribosomal RNA is filed under the name uncultured bacterium. RNAcentral's name for it is "partial 16S ribosomal RNA". It matches the Rfam family "Bacterial small subunit ribosomal RNA", at positions 338 to 795 of the family's 1533-position model. The record is from RNAcentral.